CUCAGCCUCCGGAGCAGCUGGGAUUACAGGCGCCCGCCAUCACGCCCAGGUUCUCCUUCUCUCCUCUAUCCUGCCACUUUGUGAAGAAGGUGCUUGCUUCUCCUUCACCUUCCACCAUGAUUAAAAAUAGAAUAUAAAAACUUCUCUACUCCUGACUCACCAACGCACCAGAACAACUUUUAGUCCUGCAAUCAUGACCAUCCUUCCUUCUCUAAUAUUCUGACCACAUGUAUCAGUAUUCAGAAAAAAGCAAGAGCUUCUUCUCGCAGGCGGGAUUGCCAUUGAAGAGGAUGUCAAGAAAGAUGAGUCACUGUUAGGAUUGAUUCAUGAUACUUUAUUGCCAAGCUGCAUUUGCUGAUAGAGUCAUCUAUAUCCUGGUAUCCAUGGAACACAGUGGAAGGGAAAUCUGUCCUUGUCAUUACCUGGCCACAGGCCUCUUUUAAAAGAUACUAGAAAAUUAAUUAGACUGCAAAUUCACCCAUAAAAUUAAAGUAAAAGCUACCUGGGCUCAGGGCUCUGAAAGAGGAUAACUUAUUUGGAUUAGAAAAUUUGUCAUGUUGAGCUCAAGUAGCAUUAAUUUGUUUAGAAGAGAUAAUGAUAUUUCAUUAUUAUUCCCAACCCUGAAGUUAGUCAAGAAAUAACUAAAAUAAAUACCUUGUAAAUACUGACUACACAUAAUACUUAUACUCUAUAGCAACAUGGCCACACUCAGUAAUCUUGACAAGUUUAGGAAAGCAUUUAAAUAAAAUAAAACUUGAGCCAGAUAAACUCUGGAAGAUCUUUAAAAUUAAAUAUAAUAGUUACUGGGUAAAGCGAAUGGAAAACUAGAUCAGAAAUAGAAAUUGUGCCUUACUCUUAUAAUUUCAACCAUGACAAUAUAAAUAAAUAGUAUGCUGUUAAAAAAUAAUUUGACCAUUGGGAGCAUUUAAGAUUUCUACAUGCUUUACCUAUUUUACAGAGAGAAUAAAUUUUUAAAGAAGGC
RNAcentral lists this long non-coding RNA (982 nucleotides) under Homo sapiens (human). Its description in RNAcentral is "HSALNT0319115". Lineage: Eukaryota; Metazoa; Chordata; Mammalia; Primates; Hominidae. The record is from RNAcentral.